GAUGAACGCUGGCGGCGUGCCUAAUACAUGCAAGUCGAGCGGACGGACGAGAAGCUUGCUUCUCUGAGGUUAGCGGCGGACGGGUGAGUAACACGUGGAUAACCUACCUAUAAUACGGGGAUAACUUCGGGAAACCGGAUCUAAUACCGGAUAAUAUUUUGAACCGCAUGGUUCAAAGGUGAAAGACGGUCUUGCUGUCACUUAUAGAUGGAUCCGCGCUGCAUUAGCUAGUUGGUAAGGUAACGGCUUACCAAGGCAACGAUGCAUAGCCGACCUGAGAGGGUGAUCGGCCACACUGGAACUGAGACACGGUCCAGACUCCUACGGGAGGCAGCAGUAGGGAAUCUUCGGCAAUGGGCGAAAGCCUGACGCAGCAACGCCGCGUGAGUGAUGAAGGUCUUCGGAUCGUAAAACUCUGUUAUUAGGGAAGAACAUAUGUGUAAGUAACUGUGCACAUCUUGACGGUACCUAAUCAGAAAGCCACGGCUAACUACGUG
RNAcentral lists this ribosomal RNA (497 nucleotides) under uncultured bacterium. Its description in RNAcentral is "partial 16S ribosomal RNA". It matches the Rfam family "Bacterial small subunit ribosomal RNA", at positions 28 to 507 of the family's 1533-position model. The record is from RNAcentral.